RNAcentral lists this ribosomal RNA (252 nucleotides) under uncultured bacterium. Its description in RNAcentral is "partial 16S ribosomal RNA". It matches the Rfam family "Bacterial small subunit ribosomal RNA", at positions 525 to 776 of the family's 1533-position model. The record is from RNAcentral.
ACGAAGGGGGCUAGCGUUGUUCGGAAUAACUGGGCGUAAAGCGCACGUAGGCGGAUUGGAAAGUUAGAGGUGAAAUCCCUGGGCUCAACCCAGGAACUGCCUUUAAAACUAUCAGUCUAGAGGUCGAGAGAGGUGAGUGGAAUUCCGAGUGUAGAGGUGAAAUUCGUAGAUAUUCGGAGGAACACCAGUGGCGAAGGCGGCUCACUGGCUCGAUACUGACGCUGAGGUGCGAAAGCGUGGGGAGCAAACAGG